CGGACGGGUGAGUAACACGUGGAUAACCUACCUAUAAGACUGGGAUAACUUCGGGAAACCGGAGCUAAUACCGGAUAAUAUAUUGAACCGCAUGGUUCAAUAGUGAAAGACGGUUUUGCUGUCACUUAUAGAUGGAUCCGCGCCGCAUUAGCUAGUUGGUAAGGUAACGGCUUACCAAGGCAACGAUGCGUAGCCGACCUGAGAGGGUGAUCGGCCGCACUGGAACUGAGACACGGUCCAG
RNAcentral lists this ribosomal RNA (241 nucleotides) under uncultured Staphylococcus sp. RNAcentral's name for it is "partial 16S ribosomal RNA". It matches the Rfam family "Bacterial small subunit ribosomal RNA", at positions 99 to 334 of the family's 1533-position model. Lineage: Bacteria; Bacillati; Bacillota; Bacilli; Caryophanales; Staphylococcaceae. The record is from RNAcentral.